Long non-coding RNA from Cyprinus carpio (common carp), 714 nucleotides. RefSeq lists it as uncharacterized. The transcript has 2 exons. The record is from RefSeq and is a predicted model, not a curated record. NCBI's taxonomy places the organism in Eukaryota, Metazoa, Chordata, Actinopteri, Cypriniformes, Cyprinidae.
UUUUAUUGGCAUUAUAAUAAUCAUCAUUUACCGUGGCCUGCUGGAGCUGCACGACAUUAGGGAAUAUCAGAACUUUGUCAAAGCACAGAAACAGACCGAAUGGAAAGAGGCCCAGAAUCCUCUUUUCAAAGGUGCCACAACUACAGUGUAUAACCCUUUGCAUGACAAAGACGCGAAAACGAAAAAAGGAACAUUUUGAACAGAUUUAAAGAUUAAUUUAAUUUAAAGAGAAAGUCUGGGAGUUUGCUAUUGUAAUAUCUUGUUUUUGCAUUUUUUGUUGUACAUCUUAAAUUGUGCCAACGAGAUUAAAAAUGAUAUUCUAAAAUAGCAAUAAAAACAUUUAAAUACAGGAUUAAAUGGUUGUUGUAAAUAUUGUGAUGUAUUUUAUGCAUAUUAAUAUAUAGGAUGAACACAAAGCCUUCUUUCUCCUAAAAAGGUUGAUAAACUGAACAACUCUACCUAAGAGAAUUGAAGAAUGUCCUUUUAUGAGAAAAAAAGUGUGUUUUUGUGAAAUUUUAAGCAGCUGUAUUGCUAACUAAAACUUCAGAGAUGUGUUUUAGUGAUAAUACAUAGCAGGUUUACAGCUUAAAUUAUUAUUAUUUUUAAACAGUGACUUCACAUUAUGUUUGAGGUAUUAACUGAACAGCUUGAUUCCAAAACCUGUAAUUGUUUUUACUUUUGCUUCAGUAAUAAAAGUGCCAUUCAAAAUUUCCC